UAGGGAAUAUUGGACAAUGGGUGCGAGCCUGAUCCAGCCAUGCCGCGUGCAGGAAGAAGGCUUUCUGAGUAGUAAACUGCUUUUGUCAGAGGAUAAAAAGCCCAUGCGUGGGAAAUUGAAGGUACCUGGUGAAUAAGCCACGGCUAACUACGUGCCAGCAGCCGCGGUAAUACGUAGGUGGCAAGCGUUGUCCGGAUUUAUUGGGUUUAAAGGGUGCGUAGGCGGUUUUAUAAGUCAGUGGUGAAAUCCGGCAGCUAAACUGUGGGUGUGCCAUUGAUACUGUAGAACUUGAGUACUGAUGGGGUAGGGGAAAUUGACGGUGUAGCGGUGAAAUACUUAGAUAUCGUCAAGAACACCGAUAGCAAAGACAGCUUACUAGGCAGUAACUGACGCUGGGGCACGAAAGUGUGGGGAUCAAAC
This 420-nucleotide ribosomal RNA is filed under the name uncultured bacterium. RNAcentral describes it as "bacterial SSU rRNA". It matches the Rfam family "Bacterial small subunit ribosomal RNA", at positions 355 to 773 of the family's 1533-position model. The record is from RNAcentral.